UAGUAUAUGGAAUUUACCAAUUCUAUAAACACCACCUGUGUAUCUUGCAACUGUUGCUUCCAUGGGACAUGGACCUCUGUCCACAUCGGCCCAAAAUGCUGCUGAGCGCCCAUGGGAGGAGACACCAAUCCCUCCUUUUGCAUUGAAGUUUGUCUGAAAAUGUAACCACAAACGUUA
RNAcentral lists this unclassified non-coding RNA (177 nucleotides) under uncultured Ascomycota. RNAcentral describes it as "sequence contains ITS1". The record is from RNAcentral. Lineage: Eukaryota; Fungi; Ascomycota.